Ixodes scapularis (black-legged tick) is the source of this 227-nucleotide non-coding RNA. The record is from Rfam. Lineage: Eukaryota; Metazoa; Arthropoda; Arachnida; Ixodida; Ixodidae.
UUCUGGGAGGUUUGAAAGAUUGCGAGCUCCUUCUUGAUUAGGUGGAUGGUGGUGCAUGUUCGUUCUUAGUUGGUGGAGCGAUUUGUCUGGUUAAUUCUGAUAACAAACGAGACUCUAGCCUAUUAAAUAGGUGCGUAGUUUUUUGCACCUUGCACCUUUCUUAGAGGGACAAGCGGCUCCUAGCCGCACGAAACGAAAGAAAUAACAGGUCUGUGAUGCCCUUAGAU